Molecule: ribosomal RNA, 955 nt
Filed under: Staphylococcus warneri
Lineage: Bacteria; Bacillati; Bacillota; Bacilli; Caryophanales; Staphylococcaceae
Description: bacterial SSU rRNA
Rfam family: Bacterial small subunit ribosomal RNA
Source: RNAcentral
AUACAUGCAAGUCGAGCGAACAGAUAAGGAGCUUGCUCCUUUGACGUUAGCGGCGGACGGGUGAGUAACACGUGGAUAACCUACCUAUAAGACUGGGAUAACUUCGGGAAACCGGAGCUAAUACCGGAUAACAUAUUGAACCGCAUGGUUCAAUAGUGAAAGGCGGCUUUGCUGUCACUUAUAGAUGGAUCCGCGCCGUAUUAGCUAGUUGGUAAGGUAACGGCUUACCAAGGCAACGAUACGUAGCCGACCUGAGAGGGUGAUCGGCCACACUGGAACUGAGACACGGUCCAGACUCCUACGGGAGGCAGCAGUAGGGAAUCUUCCGCAAUGGGCGAAAGCCUGACGGAGCAACGCCGCGUGAGUGAUGAAGGUCUUCGGAUCGUAAAACUCUGUUAUCAGGGAAGAACAAAUGUGUAAGUAACUGUGCACAUCUUGACGGUACCUGAUCAGAAAGCCACGGCUAACUACGUGCCAGCAGCCGCGGUAAUACGUAGGUGGCAAGCGUUAUCCGGAAUUAUUGGGCGUAAAGCGCGCGUAGGCGGUUUUUUAAGUCUGAUGUGAAAGCCCACGGCUCAACCGUGGAGGGUCAUUGGAAACUGGAAAACUUGAGUGCAGAAGAGGAAAGUGGAAUUCCAUGUGUAGCGGUGAAAUGCGCAGAGAUAUGGAGGAACACCAGUGGCGAAGGCGACUUUCUGGUCUGUAACUGACGCUGAUGUGCGAAAGCGUGGGGAUCAAACAGGAUUAGAUACCCUGGUAGUCCACGCCGUAAACGAUGAGUGCUAAGUGUUAGGGGGUUUCCGCCCCUUAGUGCUGCAGCUAACGCAUUAAGCACUCCGCCCUGGGGGAGUACGACCGCAAGGUUGAAACUCAAAGGAAUUGACGGGGACCCGCACAAGCGGUGGGAGCAUGUGGUUUAAUUUCGAAGCAACGCGAAGAACCUUACCAAAUCUUG